This 252-nucleotide unclassified non-coding RNA is filed under the name Glomeromycotina sp. RNAcentral describes it as "partial contains small subunit ribosomal RNA, internal transcribed spacer 1, and 5.8S ribosomal RNA". The stretch from base 1 to 47 matches the Rfam family "Eukaryotic small subunit ribosomal RNA", at positions 1785 to 1831 of the family's 1831-position model. The record is from RNAcentral. Lineage: Eukaryota; Fungi; Glomeromycota.
AAAGUCGUAACAAGGUCUCCGUAGGUGAACCUGCGGAGGGAUCAUCAAAGAAUUUUCCAUAAAGUGCUACUUUCUUUCGAAAGAGAGGAGGUGGUGCUUUCAAACAAACGAUCACAACUAUUGAAAAAAGAGAGAGAGAAUGGAUUGGAUUGGAUUGGGUUUUUUGAGGGGACAGAGAAAAAGUGUUUGCCUGAUAAUUUUGAUUGGAAAAAGAAAAAUACACAACUUUCAACAACGGAUCUCUUGGCUCUC